RNAcentral lists this small nuclear RNA (114 nucleotides) under Sinocyclocheilus rhinocerous. RNAcentral's name for it is "U5 spliceosomal RNA (ENSSRHG00000049623.1)". It matches the Rfam family "U5 spliceosomal RNA". From Rfam's summary of the family: U5 RNA is a component of both types of known spliceosome. The precise function of this molecule is unknown, though it is known that the 5' loop is required for splice site selection and p220 binding, and that both the 3' stem-loop and the Sm site are important for Sm protein binding and cap methylation. The record is from Rfam by way of RNAcentral. Lineage: Eukaryota; Metazoa; Chordata; Actinopteri; Cypriniformes; Cyprinidae.
CACUCAUGUUUUAUCUCAAAUCGUAUAAAUCUUUCGCCUUUUAUUAAAGAUUUCCGUGGGAAGUAACACAAUGAGUAUAAGCUAAUUUUUUGAUGCUCUGUUUUUGGCAGGGCU